Molecule: transfer RNA, 74 nt
Filed under: Thermoplasmatales archaeon SG8-52-1
Lineage: Archaea; Methanobacteriati; Thermoplasmatota; Thermoplasmata; Thermoplasmatales
Also listed under: 2 other names
Description: tRNA-Lys
Rfam family: tRNA
About the family: Transfer RNA (tRNA) molecules are approximately 80 nucleotides in length. Their secondary structure includes four short double-helical elements and three loops (D, anti-codon, and T loops).
Source: RNAcentral
GGGCCUGUAGCUCAGCUAGGUAGAGCAUCUGGCUUUUAACCAGGUGGCCAGGGGUUCGAAUCCCCUCAGGCCCG